GGGUCGAUGCCCGAGUGGUUAAAGGGAUCGGACUGUAAAUCCGAUGAUGUAUGUCUACGCUGGUUCGAAACCAGCUCGGCCCA
Molecule: transfer RNA, 83 nt
Filed under: Prototheca stagnorum
Lineage: Eukaryota; Viridiplantae; Chlorophyta; Trebouxiophyceae; Chlorellales; Chlorellaceae
Also listed under: 1 other name
Description: tRNA-Tyr
Rfam family: tRNA
About the family: Transfer RNA (tRNA) molecules are approximately 80 nucleotides in length. Their secondary structure includes four short double-helical elements and three loops (D, anti-codon, and T loops).
Source: RNAcentral